CCUCAAGAUGAGAUUUCCCAUUUCUUUAAGAAAGUAAGACCACUGAGAGAUGAUCAGGUAGAUAGGUUGGAAGUGGAAGGCUAGUGAUAGUUGUAGCGGACCAAUACUAAUCGGUCGAGGACUUAACCAAA
This 131-nucleotide ribosomal RNA is filed under the name Enterococcus faecalis. RNAcentral describes it as "partial 23S ribosomal RNA". It matches the Rfam family "Bacterial large subunit ribosomal RNA", at positions 2797 to 2925 of the family's 2925-position model. Lineage: Bacteria; Bacillati; Bacillota; Bacilli; Lactobacillales; Enterococcaceae. The record is from RNAcentral.